This 253-nucleotide ribosomal RNA is filed under the name uncultured bacterium. RNAcentral describes it as "partial 16S ribosomal RNA". It matches the Rfam family "Bacterial small subunit ribosomal RNA", at positions 524 to 776 of the family's 1533-position model. The record is from RNAcentral.
UACGGAGGGUGCGAGCGUUAAUCGGAAUUACUGGGCGUAAAGGGCGCGUAGGCGGUCAGGUAAGUCGGAUGUGAAAGCCCUGGGCUUAACCUGGGAACUGCAUUCGAUACUGCCGGGCUAGAGUAUGGUAGAGGGAAGUGGAAUUCCGGGUGUAGCGGUGAAAUGCGUAGAUAUCCGGAGGAACAUCAGUGGCGAAGGCGGCUUCCUGGACCAAUACUGACGCUGAGGCGCGAAAGCGUGGGGAUCAAACAGG